CAGCAGCCACGGUAAUACGAAGGGGGCUAGCGUUGCUCGGAAUCACUGGGCGUAAAGGGUGCGUAGGCGGGUCUUUAAGUCAGGGGUGAAAUCCUGGAGCUCAACUCCAGAACUGCCUUUGAUACUGAAGAUCUUGAGUUCGGGAGAGGUGAGUGGAACUGCGAGUGUAGAGGUGAAAUUCGUAGAUAUUCGCAAGAACACCAGUGGCGAAGGCGGCUCACUGGCCCGAUACUGACGCUGAGGCACGAAAGCGUGGGGAGCGAACAGGAUUAGAUACCCCUGUAGUCCCUGUCUCUUAUAU
RNAcentral lists this ribosomal RNA (301 nucleotides) under uncultured bacterium. RNAcentral describes it as "partial 16S ribosomal RNA". It matches the Rfam family "Bacterial small subunit ribosomal RNA", at positions 509 to 809 of the family's 1533-position model. The record is from RNAcentral.